Molecule: ribosomal RNA, 484 nt
Filed under: uncultured bacterium
Lineage: Bacteria
Description: partial 16S ribosomal RNA
Rfam family: Bacterial small subunit ribosomal RNA
Source: RNAcentral
GACGAACGCUGGCGGCGUGCUUAACACAUGCAAGUCGAACGAUGACGACCGUGCUUGCACGGUCUGAUUAGUGGCGAACGGGUGAGUAACACGUGAGUAACCUGCCCCCCACUCUGGGAUAACCUCGGGAAAUCGGGGCUAAUACCGGAUAUGAGCUCCUGCCGCAUGGUGGGUGCUGGAAAGUUUUUCGGUGGGGGAUGGACUCGCGGCCUAUCAGUUUGUUGGUGAGGUAAUGGCUCACCAAGGCGAUGACGGGUAGCCGGCCUGAGAGGGCGACCGGCCACGCUGGGACUGAGACACGGCCCAGACUCCUACGGGAGGCAGCAGUGGGGAAUAUUGCACAGUGGGGGAAACCCUGAUGCAGCCAUGCCGCGUGUGUGAAGAAGGCCUUAGGGUUGUAAAGCACUUUCAGUGGGGAGGAAAGGGUGAAAGCUAAUACCAUACGAGGAAGCCCCGGCAAACUACGUGCCAGCCGCCGCAGUAC